This 252-nucleotide ribosomal RNA is filed under the name uncultured Odoribacter sp. RNAcentral's name for it is "partial 16S ribosomal RNA". It matches the Rfam family "Bacterial small subunit ribosomal RNA", at positions 524 to 776 of the family's 1533-position model. Lineage: Bacteria; Pseudomonadati; Bacteroidota; Bacteroidia; Bacteroidales; Odoribacteraceae. The record is from RNAcentral.
UACGGAGGAUGCGAGCGUUAUCCGGAUUUAUUGGGUUUAAAGGGUGCGUAGGCGGCAUUAUAAGUUAGUGGUAAAAUAUUGGGGCUUCACCUCACUACGCCAUUAAUACUGUAGAGCUAGAGAACAGACGAGGUAGGCGGAAUAAGUUAAGUAGCGGUGAAAUGCAUAGAUAUAACUUAGAACACCGAUAGCGAAGGCAGCUUACUAAGCCAUAACUGACACUGAAGCACGAAAGCGUGGGGAUCAAACAGG